This 208-nucleotide ribosomal RNA is filed under the name uncultured bacterium. RNAcentral's name for it is "partial 16S ribosomal RNA". It matches the Rfam family "Bacterial small subunit ribosomal RNA", at positions 568 to 774 of the family's 1533-position model. The record is from RNAcentral.
CGUGUAGGCGGUCAGGUAAGUGGAAUGUGAAAUGCCCCGGCUCGCCCGGGGACCGGCAUCCCAAACUGCCUGGCUUGAGUAUGGGAGAGGAUGGAGGAAUUCCUGGUGUAGCGGUGAAAUGCGUAGAUAUCAGGAGGAACACCGGUGGCGAAGGCGUCCAUCUGGCCCAAGUACUGACGCUGAGGCGCGAAAGCUAGGGGAGCAAACG